GAUGAACGCUAGCGAUAGGCUUAACACAUGCAAGUCGAGGGGCAGCAUGGUCUUAGCUUGCUAAGACUGAUGGCGACCGGCGCACGGGUGCGUAACGCGUAUGCAACUUGCCUCACAGAGGGGGAUAACCCGUCGAAAGACGGACUAAUACCGCGUACACUUGGGAUAGGGCAUCCUGACCCAAGGAAAUGAAAGUCGCUGUGAGAUAAGCAUGCGUCUCAGUAGCUAGUUGGUGAGGUAACGGCCCACCAAGGCGACGAUGGGAAGGGGAGCUGAGAGGCUGAACCACCACACUGGUACCGCGACACGGACCCGACUCCUACGCGAGGCAGCAGAGAGGAGUACUGGGCAAUGAGCGAGGGCCUGACCCAGCCACGUCGCUUGAAGAAGGACUCGCGUAUGGAUUCUAAACUUCUUUUAUACAAGAAUAACAGGAGCCACGUGUGGCUUUCUGCCGGUACCGUAUGAAUAAGCAUCGGCUAACUCCGUG
RNAcentral lists this ribosomal RNA (490 nucleotides) under uncultured bacterium. RNAcentral's name for it is "partial 16S ribosomal RNA". It matches the Rfam family "Bacterial small subunit ribosomal RNA", at positions 28 to 507 of the family's 1533-position model. The record is from RNAcentral.